Molecule: ribosomal RNA, 486 nt
Filed under: Anaplasma bovis
Lineage: Bacteria; Pseudomonadati; Pseudomonadota; Alphaproteobacteria; Rickettsiales; Anaplasmataceae
Description: bacterial SSU rRNA
Rfam family: Bacterial small subunit ribosomal RNA
Source: RNAcentral
GAAGUGGUGGGUAAUACUGUAUAAUCCCUGCGGGGGAAAGAUUUAUCGCUACAUGAUGAGCCUAUGUUAGAUUAGCUAGUUGGUGGGGUAAUGGCCUACCAAGGCAGUGAUCUAUAGCUGGUCUGAGAGGAUGAUCAGCCACACUGGAACUGAGACACGGUCCAGACUCCUACGGGAGGCAGCAGUGGGGAAUAUUGGACAAUGGGCGCAAGCCUGAUCCAGCUAUGCCGCGUGAGUGAGGAAGGCCUUAGGGUUGUAAAACUCUUUCAGUGGGGAAGAUAAUGACGGUACCCACAGAAGAAGUCCCGGCAAACUCCGUGCCAGCAGCCGCGGUAAUACGGAGGGGGCAAGCGUUGUUCGGAAUUAUUGGGCGUAAAGGGCAUGUAGGUGGUUUGGUAAGUUAAAGGUGAAAUGCCAGGGCUUAACCCUGGAGCUGCUUUUAAUACUGCCAGACUGGAGUCCGGGAGAGGAUAGCGGAAUUCCUAG